UCAUCAGUAUUUCCCAGCCUUGAUCAGGACUGUUUUUAUUCAGUCUUCCUUUUCAACUUCGCUGAAGUGGGGUUAACGAAAGCAAUACCUUAGUGAUUGUUAGUACCGGCUACCCAGACGGUCAGAAGCAAGAAAUUAUCCUAAGUUAUCCGGUUUCAAAAGCGCACAGCAUAUCCCAUACAACACUCUUUGCUAGCACAACAGAACUAAGACAAACAGGAUCAAUAUGGCAUUGGAUACGCUCAGCAGUUUUAUGAUACUGGUCUGUGCUGUCGCCCUGGUUAUUUUGGUCUCGUUGACUGUUUACACGUGGUAUAAGUGGCAUAUGAAAGAGGUACAACAAGCGGCGACUCCUUACCAGGCCGCCAGCGCCGAGCUCGCCAUUGAAAUGACGUCACACACACCUCACCAUCCGCAGUCGCAUUUUCAGAGGGGCUAUUUAAACACAGUGGGGAGGGACAGUCCAAACCUGAGUGGCUCACGGACCUUCCUGAGCGAUGAGGUGUUGAAGCAAAAGCCAAACCUACCCCCGCCUGCGUUUGAGAGCAAAGACGUUGUCUUCCACGCCAACGCAGAGCGUAAUCCUGACGAGCUAAAAUCCAGCGACGUAGUUUUCCACGCGAACGGACCAUUCGCCGAUAACACAACGACCAAUGGGACUCAAGCUGGUCAAGUGGUAUACAAUGGCGAGGGCACGAGCGGGAAACGAAGAUGGACCGAGUCCACGGUCCCAGCGGAAGACGAAGAUGAAAACGAUGUCUCGCAUAGAAAAAACACGUAUCUGUGAAAGAAUAUAGACUGCAAUUCGUUGAGUGUAGUUUUGGCCGCAUAUAUCGUCCCUCAUUUAUAUAAAUUUUAUAGCUUUGACCCUAAAAGGCUAAGUCUUUUAGACUUGGAAGCCUAACAUAUUUUUUGCAUCGCGAAUGUUUAACUGAGAUCCGAAAGUAAGGGAAAUUUAAAACCUCCAUUUAUGCGUUCAAAUGUAGUUUUGUCUUACUCAUCGUUUGUACCUUAGACUUGGUAGUAGCCUUGCCUAAUUUACAAGAUGUUUCACAUAAUGGCACGCCAGUAGGGUGAAUAGAAAAGACUUCUAAGUUAAACUAAACUCUUGAUUGUCUAAAAAAAAGUUAAUUUCUCAACGCUUUUCCUUUUCUUAGAUAAAAUCAAAUGAAUUCAACUUAUGCUUUGCGUUACGUGCCAGAUUGAGGAGACUAAAACGUACAAGUCGCUAAUAUUAAAAAAAUCGUAAGAAAUUUCUUCUCACGUUUGUGUUGAAUCAAAGAUCUCGGAUUCUUAAUGUCGAGGAGAAUGAAAAUCUUAUUGUACUUUGCGAUAUUACCAUCUGCGUUGCCUUUACAUGUAAGUACUUGAUGUUUUUAGGCCAGACGCCACCUUAAAAAUUAGCUAUCCUGAAUUCUAGACUUAUAUUGCCAACAAGAUAGGUGAGCCCAAAUGCGAGUGUACGGUCAAACGUUCCUCAUUUUCUAUUUUAUGUUUCUUAUUGCAACGAGAGUAUUUGUAGAGAAGAAUUCUUUAUGUUUCAAAUGGUAGCGGUAAUCCUUAUAUAACGAGGGGCAUAUCAAACUACAAAAGGUAAAUAGCAUUUAUAAUUCGCCUCAUUGGCACUUGCCGGAAGGUAGAAGUAGGUUUAUUUGUCAUAAUGUAUCUUUCUUGUACAUAGGGGUAUUUUCAUAAGCGCGUGUUAGAUAAGGAUGUGAUAACCAACACAUCAUGGUUGAGUUUUGUAAAUUGUGGGAAUGCACGCAUACUAAAAUGAUCUAAAAUAUAUUCCACAGUUGUUUUUAACCCACCUUUUUUGAUGAUGUCUUUUGUAUUGAAAAAUGAAAUAAAGUAUCAGAGAAUUAUAAUA
RNAcentral lists this unclassified non-coding RNA (1870 nucleotides) under Orbicella faveolata. Its description in RNAcentral is "uncharacterized LOC110048413, transcript variant X2". The record is from RNAcentral. Lineage: Eukaryota; Metazoa; Cnidaria; Anthozoa; Scleractinia; Merulinidae.